AUACUUACCUGGCAAGGGAGAUACUAUGAUCACAAAGGUGGUUUUCCCAGGGCGAGGCUUUUCCAUUGCGCUCCAGUUGUGCUGACCUCUGUGAUUUCCCUGAAUGUGAGAAACUCAACUGCAUAAUUUGUGGUAGGGGGGGACUGCAUUCUUGCUUUCCCCUG
This is a small nuclear RNA of Cebus imitator (Panamanian white-faced capuchin), 164 nucleotides long. Its record names the gene U1. It matches the Rfam family "U1 spliceosomal RNA". From Rfam's summary of the family: U1 is a small nuclear RNA (snRNA) component of the spliceosome (involved in pre-mRNA splicing). Its 5' end forms complementary base pairs with the 5' splice junction, thus defining the 5' donor site of an intron. NCBI's taxonomy places the organism in Eukaryota, Metazoa, Chordata, Mammalia, Primates, Cebidae. The record is from Ensembl.